Molecule: ribosomal RNA, 258 nt
Filed under: uncultured bacterium
Lineage: Bacteria
Description: partial 16S ribosomal RNA
Rfam family: Bacterial small subunit ribosomal RNA
Source: RNAcentral
CUUGCUUUCUUUGCUGGCGACCGGCGCACGGGUGAGUAACACGUAUCCAACCUGCCCUUUACUCGGGGAUAGCCUUUCGAAAGAAAGAUUAAUACCCGAUAGCAUAAUGAUUCCGCACGGUUUCAUUAUUAAAGGAUUCCGGUAAAGGAUGGGGAUGCGUUCCAUUAGGUUGUUGGUGAGGUAACGGCCCACCAAGCCUUCGAUGGAUAGGGGUUCUGAGAGGAAGGUCCCCCACAUUGGAACUGAGACACGGUCCAA